This 253-nucleotide ribosomal RNA is filed under the name uncultured bacterium. RNAcentral describes it as "partial 16S ribosomal RNA". It matches the Rfam family "Bacterial small subunit ribosomal RNA", at positions 524 to 776 of the family's 1533-position model. The record is from RNAcentral.
UACGUAGGGGGCAAGCGUUGUCCGGAAUCAUUGGGCGUAAAGAGCGCGUAGGCGGUCCGGUAAGUCCGCUCUGAAAGUCCGGGGCUCAACCCCGGGAGGCGGGCGGAUACUGUCGGGCUAGAGUCCGGAAGAGGCGAGUGGAAUUCCUGGUGUAGCGGUGAAAUGCGCAGAUAUCGGGAAGAACACCCGUGGCGAAGGCGGCACUCUGGGACGGUACUGACGCUGAGACGCGAAAGCGUGGGGAGCGAACAGG